This is a long non-coding RNA of Rosa chinensis, 392 nucleotides long. RefSeq lists it as uncharacterized. The transcript has 3 exons. The record is from RefSeq and is a predicted model, not a curated record. NCBI's taxonomy places the organism in Eukaryota, Viridiplantae, Streptophyta, Magnoliopsida, Rosales, Rosaceae.
CUUUCUGUUUAGGUUCUUUUUGAUUCAGGGUUGUAUGAUAAUGGUUUGAGUUUAGCUCUUUAUAUUCCAAAUUUGAUUUAAAGGCUUUAUGAAUCCUGUUUCUUAUUCUUAAAUAGAGGUAUGAUUCAUUGAUUUUGACUUGGCAUGUCUAAUUGAAGCCAAGGGCUUGGGUGGCAUUUAUGAGAAAGAUGUGAGAAAGGCUCUUAACAGCAGAUCUCAGAAGCUGAGGUGAAAAGGGUCAUUGGCAUUCUCAUGGAGCUUUCCUAGGCUCGAAAGAUCUGUCAUGUGGUCUUGGAAUAGAGGUCCCAUAUUACAAAGACGAAGAUUAAUGGUUGAACAGAAGAUAUAUCCCAGAUAUAGCAUGCAUGUUCAAGAGCUCUCCCUUGUUUUAG